This 512-nucleotide ribosomal RNA is filed under the name uncultured bacterium. RNAcentral describes it as "bacterial SSU rRNA". It matches the Rfam family "Bacterial small subunit ribosomal RNA", at positions 15 to 518 of the family's 1533-position model. The record is from RNAcentral.
GAUCCUGGCUCAGGAUGAACGCUAGCUACAGGCUUAACACAUGCAAGUCGAGGGGCAGCGAGAGGAAGCUUGCUUCCUUGUCGGCGACCGGCGCACGGGUGAGUAACGCGUAUCCAACCUUCCCUUAGUAGGGCAUAGCCCGGCGAAAGUCGGAUUAAUACCCUAUGUUUUCCAAUGAGGACAUCUGAGCUGGAACAAAGAUUUAUCGCUAAGGGAUGGGGAUGCGUCUGAUUAGGUAGUCGGCGGGGUAACGGCCCACCGAGCCUACGAUCAGUAGGGGUUCUGAGAGGAAGGUCCCCCACAUUGGUACUGAGACACGGACCAAACUCCUACGGGAGGCAGCAGUGAGGAAUAUUGGUCAAUGGGCGCGAGCCUGAACCAGCCAAGUAGCGUGCCAGGAUGACUGCCCUAUGGGUUGUAAACUGCUUUUAUACGGGGAUAAAGUGAGGUAUGCAUACCUUUUUGUAGGUACCGUAUGAAUAAGGACCGGCUAAUUCCGUGCCAGCCGCUGC